This 28-nucleotide non-coding RNA is filed under the name Mus musculus (house mouse). Lineage: Eukaryota; Metazoa; Chordata; Mammalia; Rodentia; Muridae. The record is from RNAcentral.
UGCUGGAGCCAACACCUUGUGCCAUGCC